This 123-nucleotide small nucleolar RNA is filed under the name Castor canadensis (American beaver). Lineage: Eukaryota; Metazoa; Chordata; Mammalia; Rodentia; Castoridae. The record is from RNAcentral.
AGAAGUACUCAGUGUUGCCUUUUACUAAUGAUCCAUUGAACCAUCGCAAAGGGGCAGAGUGAAAACACUUUUGGGUGAAGUGGCAGCAUGUGUUGUUUUGCUUCAACCAGUAGGGAGAUAAGG